UGGGGAAUAUUGCACAAUGGGCGCAAGCCUGAUGCAGCCAUGCCGCGUGUGUGAAGAAGGCCUUCGGGUUGUAAAGCACUUUCAGCGAGGAGGAAGGUGGUGAGCUUAAUACGCUCAUCAAUUGACGUUACUCGCAGAAGAAGCACCGGCUAACUCCGUGCCAGCAGCCGCGGUAAUACGGAGGGUGCAAGCGUUAAUCGGAAUUACUGGGCGUAAAGCGCACGCAGGCGGUUUGUUAAGUCAGAUGUGAAAUCCCCGGGCUCAACCUGGGAACUGCAUUUGAAACUGGCAAGCUAGAGUCUCGUAGAGGGGGGUAGAAUUCCAGGUGUAGCGGUGAAAUGCGUAGAGAUCUGGAGGAAUACCGGUGGCGAAGGCGGCCCCCUGGACGAAGACUGACGCUCAGGUGCGAAAGCGUGGGGAGCAAAACAGGAUUAGAUACCCCUGGUAGUCCACGCUGUAAAACGAUGUCGAUUUUGGAGGUUGUGCCCUUGAGGCGUGGCUUCCGGAGCUAACGCGUUAAAUCGACCGCCUGGGGAGUACGGCCGCAAGGUUAAAACUCAAAGGAAUUGACGGGGUCAUAGCUGUUUCCU
RNAcentral lists this ribosomal RNA (590 nucleotides) under uncultured bacterium. Its description in RNAcentral is "partial 16S ribosomal RNA". It matches the Rfam family "Bacterial small subunit ribosomal RNA", at positions 355 to 1375 of the family's 1533-position model. The record is from RNAcentral.